CGAGGGGGCAAGCGUUGUUCGGAAUUACUGGGCGUAAAGGGCGCGUAGGCGGCCUUCUAAGUCGAACGUGAAAUCCCCGGGCUCAACCCGGGAACUGCGUCCGAUACUGGAAGGCUUGAAUCCGGGAGAGGGAUGCGGAAUUCCAGGUGUAGCGGUGAAAUGCGUAGAUAUCUGGAGGAACACCGGUGGCGAAGGCGGCAUCCUGGACCGGUAUUGACGCUGAGGCGCGAAAGCCAGGGGAGCAAACGGGAUUAGAUACCCCGGUAGUCCUGGCCCUAAACGAUGAAUGCUUGGUGUGGCGGGUAUCGAUCCCUGCCGUGCCGAAGCUAACGCAUUAAGCAUUCCGCCUGGGGAGUACGGUCGCAAGGCUG
Molecule: ribosomal RNA, 371 nt
Filed under: uncultured organism
Description: bacterial SSU rRNA
Rfam family: Bacterial small subunit ribosomal RNA
Source: RNAcentral